AACGAACGCUGGCGGCAGGCUUAACACAUGCAAGUCGAACGCAUCCUUCGGGGUGAGUGGCAGACGGGCGAGUAACGCGUGGGAACGUGCCCUUCAGUUCGGGAUAACCCAGGGAAACUUGGGCUAAUACCGGAUACGUGCGAGAGCAGAAAGAUUUAUCGCUGAAGGAUCGGCCCGCGUCUGAUUAGCUAGUUGGUGGGGUAAUGGCCCACCAAGGCGACGAUCAGUAGCUGGUCUGAGAGGAUGAUCAGCCACAUUGGGACUGAGACACGGCCAAAACGCCUGCGGGAGGAAGGAGGGGGGAAUAUUGAACAAUGGGCGCAAGCGUGCUCCAGCCAUGCCGCGUGAGUGAUGAAGGCCUUAGGUUUUUAAAGCUCUUUCGUCCGGGACGAUAAGGCCGGUACCGGAAGAAGAAGCCCCGGCUAACUUCGUGCCAGCCGCCGCGGUAA
RNAcentral lists this ribosomal RNA (449 nucleotides) under uncultured bacterium. RNAcentral's name for it is "partial 16S ribosomal RNA". It matches the Rfam family "Bacterial small subunit ribosomal RNA", at positions 29 to 523 of the family's 1533-position model. The record is from RNAcentral.